UGGUGGUUUCAGGGGUUAAAAUUGGGAGGAAUUAUAGGGGGAGAGAGGGGGAGGAGAAGAAGAAGAAAGAGAGAGUACAUCUCUGUUUUUCAGAGAAAGAAAAGUCAGUUACGGUACUAUUGACUUUUUUUUUGUUUUUUGUUUUUUUUGGAAACUUGGUACUAUUGAUUUUGGAAAAAGGCAAUGGUUACUUUUUUGUUUUUGUGUCAUGCCUAUAAUGCCCUCUCAAAGUUUGCAUUUAUUGCCAAAAUAAAUUGUUUCUUUUGGAAAAACACCAUUUUCCUUUAUGUUUUUAAUCCUUUUUUUUUUUU
Molecule: long non-coding RNA, 311 nt
Filed under: Malus domestica (apple)
Lineage: Eukaryota; Viridiplantae; Streptophyta; Magnoliopsida; Rosales; Rosaceae
Description: long non-coding RNA (MDOM_LNC020731)
Source: RNAcentral